AAGCCAGUUGGUAUAAUAACUAAACCUACAUUAACAGUUAUUUAGGAAUCUUCAUGACACUCUAUGAAGGAAGUACUACUAUUGAAAAUUAAGGAAGUGAAAAUAUUAUGAAAUUAAAACUUCACAUAAAUUAUCUUAUUCCAUCCUCACAGGAACCCAAGCUUACUAAACUUAUUACUAGUUUUGAUAAAGCAAGAGAGGAACUGAGAGUCUAUAUAGUUUGCUGAAGCUUACAGCUCCUAUGUGAUGGUGUUGGGCCGAAAAUGCAGGUCUCCUGAUGGCAGCCCUUGGAACUUUGAAUUCCUUACGACCAUAUUUCAAAUCCCAGUAAAAUGUAGAUGUAGAUCCUCACACUCUAAUGAAAACCACAGGUUGGAUAUGUCAGCACUUCCAUACAACUGUGUCCCAGCUGGCUGGAUCUUUACUGAAGCAAAAAGAAACCUACAUUGUCCUACAUAUGGGGAAAGUAGAGUUGUACACGGCAGAUGUUUCAGGGAGUUCUCUUCAGAUUACCUGGAAAACAUAAAAAUAGGAAGUGAGAUUUCCAUCCCAUUAAGAUUAGCUGCCCUGAACUCUGUUUUCCACAGAAUCAAGGGGAGGUGUUACACAAAAUUCCAGCUUCGUCUCAGAAACUUGUUCCCAGCAUCUCUGUAAACAGUUGGAUCCAAGAAAAAAAAUUUGUUCUUUACUGGUAGGGCUAAUAUCAAGCUCACCCCAUAUAAAUGGGAAAGCUGAAGAUGAGAUCCUUUACAAGGAACAAAGCCUGACAGUACAUUCAUCUGAGUCCUGGCCCAAGCAUGCCUUCUUGCAGGAUGACUAGAGGAUGAUACAUUCAGCCACUGACCCUUCUGCCCAAGAGUAUCAGCCUGUGAGAAAUGAUGCUAGGGUUUAGACAAAGCCAUUUUUUGACAUUGUGCCCCUGUGGUUUCAGUCUUUAUAACGGCAUUGCCUUUAACAAUACAUUGUGAUGAGAAGAAAUCAUUUUUUCUGUCAGUCACUCAGCAGAGUGGUUUGGAGUGUACAUAAUUCAUUGUUUAUACGAAUUAUGAUUUUCUUUUUGUUACCAAUUUCUUAUAUUUAUACUUAUAUUUAUAGGUAUUUUGCAUGCAAGCAUUGCAUUUCUAUGUUUUUGACUUUUUAUUGAUUUUAGAAGAGAAAAUUGUUUUACUUGAAUAUAUCAAAUAUUCUAAAGAUUAAAAAAUGUAUCAAAUGCUCCCAAUUGUAUAAUUCAUUGUUACAUGCAUAUUACUUACAUGUAACAUUUAUUAGCUCCAAAACAUGAAUAAGCUAUAAGAUAGGUAACUCAAAUAUGCAAACAGGAAAUAAGGGAUAUAUAAAGGUCAAAAGUAGAUC
This 1353-nucleotide long non-coding RNA is filed under the name Vulpes vulpes (red fox). Its description in RNAcentral is "lncRNA (ENSVVUG00000008081.1)". The record is from RNAcentral. Lineage: Eukaryota; Metazoa; Chordata; Mammalia; Carnivora; Canidae.